RNAcentral lists this ribosomal RNA (506 nucleotides) under uncultured bacterium. RNAcentral's name for it is "partial 16S ribosomal RNA". It matches the Rfam family "Bacterial small subunit ribosomal RNA", at positions 30 to 523 of the family's 1533-position model. The record is from RNAcentral.
AUUGAACGCUGGCGGCAGGCCUAACACAUGCAAGUCGAACGGCAACAGGAAACAGCUUGCUGUUUCGCUGACGAGUGGCGGACGGGUGAGUAAUGUCUGGGAAACUGCCUGAUGGAGGGGGAUAACUAUUGGAAACGGUAGCUAAUACCGCAUAACGUCGCAAGACCAAAGAGGGGGACCUUCGGGCCUCUUGCCAUCGGAUGUGCCCAGAUGGGAUUAGCUAGUAGGUGGGGUAACGGCUCACCUAGGCGACGAUCCCUAGCUGGUCUGAGAGGAUUACCAGCCACACUGGAACUGAGCCACGGUCCAGACUCCUACGGGAGGCAGCAGUGGGGAAUAUUGCACAAUGGGCGCAAGCCUGAUGCAGCCAUGUCGCGUGUAUGAAGAAGGCCUUCGGGUUGUAAAGUACUUUCAGCGGGGAGGAAGGGAGUAAAGUUAAUACCUUUGCUCAUUGACGUUACCCGCAGAAGAAGCACCGGCUAACUCCGUGCCAGCCGCCGCCGUAA